CGGACGGGUGAGUAACGCGUGGAAAACCUGCCGUAUACUGGGGGAUAACACUUAGAAAUAGGUGCUAAUACCGCAUAAGCGCACAGCUUCGCAUGAAGCGGUGUGAAAAACUCUGGUGGUAUACGAUGGUUCCGCGUCUGAUUAGCUAGUUGGUAGGGUAAUGGCCUACCAAGGCAACGAUCAGUAGCCGGCCUGAGAGGGUGAACGGCCACAUUGGGACUGAGACACGGCCCAAACUCCUACGGAAGGCAGCAG
Molecule: ribosomal RNA, 255 nt
Filed under: uncultured bacterium
Lineage: Bacteria
Description: partial 16S ribosomal RNA
Rfam family: Bacterial small subunit ribosomal RNA
Source: RNAcentral